Molecule: long non-coding RNA, 3784 nt
Filed under: Glycine max (soybean)
Lineage: Eukaryota; Viridiplantae; Streptophyta; Magnoliopsida; Fabales; Fabaceae
Description: long non-coding RNA (GMAX_LNC000750)
Source: RNAcentral
CGCAACGGAUUCCUAUUUUGUAAUUUCAAAUGUUUGUAUUUUGUAAUUAUUUAUGAUUGAUAGAUUAAAAAGAUAAUGGAAGACAUUAAUAACUUACAUAAUGAAAAUGUUACACAUGAUUUCAAUAAUACAUUUUAAACGAGUUAAAGAUAAUGCAUUAUUACUCUUCACACAGUUAUAAGUUAAUGUACUUAAACUAACAUGGAUAAUAAGCACUUUUAACGAUAAGACCAAAGUUUUCUUAUCCUCCAAUCCAUGGUUAAGUUAGCCAAGCUUUCUCUGGGAACUUAAACCAUAGUGCGUUGAUGCAUAUCGCUUCCUUGAAGUGGGCCAUCCAUUAAACUAGAGAACAGAACCUUGCCACGCUUUGCUUUGCAUAUCUUUCCACCAUCAAGAUUCGAGAGUGACAUCCUAUCCAUCAGUUUACAUUUUUACUCAGAUUAAAAGUAAAAAUUAUACAUCAAACUUUAUUUUUAGCCAUCAAGAAGAGGAUAAGUAACCAAAAGUGAAUCAUAUCACUUUUUCUUUUCUUGACAUAAACUCUACUGAUUAUAAAAGCAAAUGCUUGAAGAUAAACUCAAAAGGUUAAUUCAUGUAUCGUGAUCCAAACGAAAAAGCGUGUGAAUCAAUGAUGUAGGAUUAUUUUAGUUAAAGUAGAAAUCUUAAUUUGAGCCUUAUAUAUAUAUAGCUAUGUUAAAUAUUUAGAAGAAAAAUUUUAUUAUCUAUAAUAAUCUUAUAGAAUUAUCUCCUGUGAAAAAUACUUGAUAUUGAGGCAAAUAAAAUGUAAUGUAAUCCAUUUAAGAAAUUAAACUUUCUCAACAAGUGUUCUUUUUCUGGCAUGCAAAUAGAUUUGAAGAUCGAAACUGAUCACAUGUUUGAGUUUAACUUUAUUUCUUGACGAAUUAAUUACGUUAUCCUCCAAAGUAAUUUUGAAUAUAGACAAGCAUGGCACUUGUCAACACUGAUGCAAAAACCAAGUGCUGGAUGUGGUGAGUUGUAGGGUGUGGGAGCAGUAAUCAAUGCCAGGUAAAGGGCAAGCAAUGAAUUGGACCUAUCAUAUUUUUGGGGUCCUACUAGUUGAGUUUGCAACCUUCACCGCACGAGAACUAAAUGAUAGACCCUGGUUCCAGUGGUCGUGCGGGGUUCAGUGAAUAGCAUAAGUUCCCAUUUCCCUUGCACCAUCACGUGGCCUUCACAAGGUCUACACCUCUGGACCAGCACUCCAUUUUGCUCUAUUCCUAACCCAACACUACCAUUUUGGACCAUGUACCUAACCAUACUAUAUGUCGAGCACAACUUUCACUAUACAUGGACUAGAAUCAAUAGUGUGGAAUAAAAACACACACAAACAAACCCAAUUGAAACAAACAUUAUUAAUUAGUUGUUUAAUUUCUAAGAGAAACAUGUUACAAGGUAGCUAUAGGGGAUUAAUUAAUUAAUUAAUUCAUUCAUUAAUUAAUUGAAAAUGUUAUUGUAAUCAAAUAAUCAACUAAGGUGAAGCGAAUAUUUCCUACUAGCUAAGUGGAAACAAGGAAGUUGUGUGAGUUCUAAAAUCAUGAUACGUUUGACGGGCAUCAGCCGACACAUUGGACAUAUUAGCAAACAAUAUCAACAGGUGCAUGCAUGAACUCCUAGUUUCUUUGUUUUUUCUUUUGUUUGUUUGGAAGCUAGCUAACUCUUUCAUAAUAAACUAGGUUAAACUAAUAGUGUUUUGUUUGAUACAUGGUCAAGCGGGGCAUUUAUGAUUAGAGGCUCAAGAGUUUGAUAUACAAGUUCAGCAUACAUGAUUUAUCAGAAUCAGAAGCUACUCUGGUGGCGACACAAAAUUUGACACACGAAGUUGGCUAUAAAGAGAUUCCAUUAGAAAAGGAAGAAGAAGAAAAAAAGUGGAUGGCCAAUCGUAUCAUAAACAAAUACAAGUUGUUCCGCUUGAUAAAUAAACAUUAUAUAUAUAUUUAUAUGUCUGUGUCUUAUUUAUCUUUAAAUGGAUCAACACAUUGUUUUCAAGAUUAGAUUCUCCCUGCUGUUGAUGAACCUAAUCCGUAGUCUUUUCAGAAUGAUCAUCUUCACCAAAUUAUGGUGUUAAUGAAUAUGACAAUUCCCUAAAACAUUAAUACAUUAUUAAUAUAUACUUUAUAUUAAGUAGUAGUAUAUAAUAAAUAAACCCAAGCAAUGAAAAAAAAAGAAGCUAGAGAGAGAAAGAGAAUAAAUGUAUAGGUGGGGACACAUGGCAGUAAAAUUGAGACAACUAAAAGAAAACGGGUAAAGUGGCUGUGGCACGUUGGUGCUCUCAUUCCUCAACUAGCUUAUAAUGCUGCUUCUCUUUUAGCCGACCCAACUUCCAUGCUGUCUCAAACUAUCCUUGUUUCACAAGACAAUAAUCCUUUUCGUUCCUUUGCCUCACUCACUCAUGCACAAACGCGCGCGCAUAUAUAUAUAUAUAUAUAUAUGCUUAGUACAAGUCCCAAAGGGCAAAUAAUCCCAAUAACUUUGAGAAAGCUAGCUAGAGAGCUAUAUCUAACUUUGAAAAUUUGCCCAAUAUACAUGUUCUACUUUGCCUAUUGCAACAUAUCCUAUAGUUAGCUUCUUAGUUCUUACAUUACAUACAUGGAAGUUGACUUAGUUCUUGCUCUCCCCACUCAAAAUUCCGUUGAGGAAUUCAAGCUUAACAAGUCGAAACAGAUAGUGAGUUUACAGUUAUGGAGAGCCAGUUGCGGUUCAGAAAGCGAAAAACGUGUCAAACACAAUAAGCGCAGCUUCGAAGAGUCCUUUGGACAUUUUUUGAAACCUUUGCCUUUACUAGUUUGGAGUGGACAGCCAAAUGAAGAAGAUGACCGCAGUGAAAAGGUGCAAAGAAACAUUCACAUACCAAACAAGUAAGUUGUGUCUCCACUUACUAUGUUCUCCAUAUGUAUGUUUGCUUACCCUUCUAAAACUAACUAGUAAAGUAAUAAUUGACAUUUUGAUCAUAUAUAUGUGCAUUUUUUAUGUUAUUCUUUUAUGGUACUUAGAGGUUUAUCUCGUUAAUUUGCGUAAUAAAGGUUUCUAUAAAAUGUUAAUUUAGACUACCAAAGUAAAACUCUAAUUCUGAUUUAAUACCAGUAUAAGAAGUACCUAUAGAACUACAUGUAAGUUUUGUUCUUAGUAAAGGACAACUAGAACUUCUGUAAUGAUAAGCUAUUAAAAGAAGGUUAUCUUACUUACUUUGAUGGUGUUCAUACAGGAAUGGUGAUGAAGAAAACCAUUUGGUGGGGUGGCCACCAGUUAAAUCAUGGAGGAGGAAAGAACUCCAUCAGCAGCAUCCUGCGAGAGGCCGAAUUAGGAACGAUAGGAUUCAAGCUAAUGAAAAUCAAAGUAGAGGACCAAACUCUUUAUAUGUCAAGGUUAACAUGGAAGGGGUAGCCAUAGGAAGGAAAAUCAAUUUGAGGCUUUUCAAUUCUUAUCAGACACUCACAAGCAGCUUGAUCAGCAUGUUUGCUAAAUGUAAGUGAAUGGUUCUACAUUUCUUUUUUCUUUUGAGUUUGUUGUGAGAUGUAUGCAGUGGAUUUGAUUUUUGAUUUGGUCUAUACAUGUUAUAUUUGAACAGACCAAAAAUUUGAGGAAGUUGGAGAAAGUUACACGCUCACCUUUCAAAACGAACAAGGGGAAUGGCUGCAAGUAGGACAUGUUCCAUGGCAGUAUGUGCAUAUUUUAUAUAUACAUUGAUUACAUACUUCCAUUGACUACUUUAUGCCACGGAAACUUUAAGGACAAUUCAUUCCUUGGAGAAAAAAUUAAAAAAGAG